GCAUACGCGCGCACACCGUAGACUGAGAGUUGUAACUUAGAGCACAAUACAGGCGCUACGUGUGUAUGUGCGUGUGUGCGUGGUACCACACGUUGCAUUCUCACUUUAGAAACACCUUAGAUCAAGCCACCAACUCUACUUUUUCGCUCCUACACAAGACAGACACAGAAGGAGCAGCACACUCACAGCCAUAUCAUUAUCAUCCUCCUCUCCCUUACGAUAACGACGACGACGGCCACCACCACCAUCCUCUCUGUCCGACUACAGAACUCACGCAGAACACACGCGCAGAGGUCAACUCCGCUCAUCAAUAAGGUCUGUCGAUCCUUUUCUCUGUCUCCUUGGGUCCUACACAGGCUGGACGCACACCCCACGGCACACACGCACGCGCACUCGUUCUCUCCCUCCCUCGAGGCGAUUGCCAUCCUUGCAGCAGCAAAGACGAGGACACGUGCGAGGCCAUGUCGUCGUCUAGCAUCAAGGUGGCGGUGCGCUGCCGCCCGCUCUUUGGGCAGGAGCGCCCGGCCGGCGGCCUUGACAUUCAGAGCCGCCGCAUCCUGCUCGACUCCAAGACUUAUGACCCAGACUUCACCUUUUCUCCUACGUCGACGCAGGAGGACGUCUUCCAGGCAUGUCGGCCGAUACUGCAAUGCGUGAAAGAGGGCAUGAACGGCACGAUUAUGGUCUACGGCCAGACCGGCACCGGCAAGACGUACACCAUGCUUGGCAGCGAGGACGGCGAGCAAGGCCUGGUGCACAAGGUAGUAGCGAACAUGCUAGAGCAUGUGCAGCGGAAGAUUGCAGACGGCGCACAGUGCGCGCUGACGCUGUCCAUGAUCGAGAUCUACAACGAGCGCCUCACGGACAUGCUCAGUCCGAAUGGGGAGGAAGAGGUGACGCUCAUCUCCGGCUUCCCGCGCUUCACCCACAAGGCGACGCUGUGCAGAGUCAACGACGCCAUUGAGACGAUCCAGCGUGGCCUGUCGUGGCGCCACACGGCGGCAACGCUGAUGAACGAGCGCAGCAGCCGCUCGCACGUCGUCUUUAUCUUCGACAUGGAGGAGUACAAUGCCUUCACGGAGCAGACCGAGGUGGCGCAUCUGUUCAUGAUCGACCUGGCAGGGUCGGAGAGUUUGAAGAAGUCCCAGGCCUCCGGCGUCGCGGCAGGCGAGGCUGGCAAGAUCAACAAGUCGCUGCUGGCCUUGAAAAGUGUCUUCCUCGCGCUGUCCAACACGAAUGAGGCGACGCGGCCCAGCCAUGUGCCGUACCGCGACUCGAAACUGACAGAGCUGCUACAGGACUCCAUCGGCGGCACUGCCCGGACGCUCAUGAUCGCCUGCAUCUCGUCCGUUGGCCGCGACAUCGAGGAGACCAAGUCGACGCUGCUCUACGCCGUCAAGGCCCGCAGCAUCCGCAACGCCGCCAACACGGAGAAAGAGAAGCUGCUUGUCCGGCUGCGCUCGAUGGAGGUCGAGAACCAGAAACUGCGCAACCGCCUGCAGGAGCGGGUGAACGAGCGGGGCGGGUACUACGUAACAAAGGAGGAACAUGAGCAGACGCAGGAGAUGGCUGAGUCGUACGACCAGCUUAAGGAGGCGGUUGAGCAGCUCAUGCAGGACCGUCAGAGCAGCGACGCGCGGCAGCACAUAUGGGAAUCUCAGGUGAAGGUGCUGAAGGCGCUCUUGGUGGAUAAAGAGGCGGAGCUGCAGAACUUCAAGGAGGUGUACCAUGAAGCACUGAAGCGAUUCGAGCAUCAGGCUGCUGCACUCCAAGGCGUGAUACGCGGUGGGGUCGCGGAGGCCAAGGACGCAGUGAAGACUUCCUUCGCGGACAACUACGCGCGUCUACAGGCGUGGCGCACAGAACUGCUCAACUCGCUGGAGGAGCCCGUGCCCACCACUCUCCCGCCGCCGCCUCUCUCGCCCGCUUGUUGUUCGCAGAACGACGCCGCUGCUGCGACGGCCGUGGCGAAUGAGGAGGAGGUGCAGCGUCAGAAGGCAGACGACAGCGCCUUCCGGUGCCCUCUAGACGCCGUUGCCGCAAUGUCUCCAGAACGGCGCAGCUGCCCGCCGCCUCCCUCGCAGGCCUUCCCCAGUGGCGGCACUCAGUCGUUGUCGCAGACAGCAGGUAGUCGUGGCGUCGCAGGCCCCGUCCCUGAUGGAUCCCCCUCGCGGACAGCCGUCGCAGCUGCUGCGGUCUCCCACCCUGGUCGGGCCAUGGCUGUUGCCGCUCCGUACUCCGCACGCGGUAGCACCACGUCAUCUCUCCAGCGCGGCAGCGUCACCUCAGGCGCACCGUCGGCCUCGGUGAGUCCGACACGCCGCGCCGUUCGUCCUCGGUGCGGCGGUGGUGGCGCCGCGGCCAGCAACGGCCCUCGCCGUUGCCCCGUGGGCAACAGUAACGGCACUGGCGCUCUUCGAGGGAGCGGCGCUCCACCACUGUCGUCUCCGCCCCUCGGCGCCUGUCCGCCUCCGCCGCUGACACCGCUUCCUGCCACCGCUGUGACUGACGUGCCGGCAAAGGACGGUAGCGAGGAAUACUGCGGCUCGACGCUGGCCACCAGCGUGAUGGACGCGUCAGCGCCCCUGCUCGUAUCGCGAACUACAAGCAGCUCCGUGGCGCCGCCAGCGUGGUCUGCCGUGAUGGCGGAGUACGACGCGCAGUGUCUUCGCACUGUGCGCCGGCUGAACAAGUCGGUGGAUGCACUGCUCAGCGAGUGUCUGAAGCUCUUCACCGACUACAAGGAGCACGCGGAGCGGGCGGAGCUCAAGCGGCAGCGCGGCGUUGAAGAAGUCUGCCAGCGACUGCGUACCGAUCUAGACUCGAGUCUGAAGCAGCUGCAGCGAGUCGAGGCAGUCGGCGAGCGCGAUGUGCAGGAGGCGCGUGAACGGUUCAGCGAUCGGCUCCGGCUGAGGGCCAAAAUGCCGUCCUUGGCGGACGCGGCGCCGUUCCAGUUGGCGGUGCGUGAUGCGUGUGCAGAGGUGAUACGACACGCCACCCACUUCUUCCCCCAUGCAAGCACCCCCGCCGAUGCCGAGGCAGCGCUAGACGUCAUCGUGCGCAAUGUGCAGCGCUGCAGUGCCACCUUCACCCUUCAGGCCUUGGGCCCGCUGUCGUCGAGCGCCGUCAGCGCCCAUGCUGCCUCGGUCGUGGCGUGUGGCACCACAACAUCGUCGUCGUCCGCGGCCAGCUCGCCCAUUGUAGGCCGCGCGGUGGGUGCGUGGGGCGGCGGCGGUGGUAGCAGCAGCCCACAGCUGGCGAGUUUCGUACCCAUGCCACCACUGACGGCCACUCUCCCGCGCGAGUCACCGGCGGCGGCGCCCCUGUGCUCUCUGACAGGAUCGCCAGGCAAGGAAGAGGUGCGGGAGAGGGGCUCUGUUAGUGGUCACCUCCUGCAGGGGUCUCGAGGGACAAUGCACGUGUCGGCGUCUCAGCAGCAGCAGCAGAGUGCGCGACCGUCAUCGCUACGCGGCAGCGCGACACUCACGACAAUGCCUGUAAACUGCAGCCGCGGCGGUGACGGCCGUCGUGGUGGCAGUGGCAGCAACGUACCGAGACCUCACAAGCGAACACGCAGCGCUGCUGCCUCUUCGACGUCUUCUGGCGGAGGAGCGCCGUCCUCCUCUCGCCGCACGACGGCCACGCGUCGAUCCGGUCACUGACACACACACACGCCCGUGCGCACCCGAGAAGGCGCGCUUCAGCCUGUGCAAUGCGCGCAUGAGAGACAUCAUCGUCACCCCUCCCCUCCAUCGUGUACGUCUGUGCGUGUGUGGGCGCGCAUCCAAACAUGUACACAGGCGCAUGAGGCCAGUGGAUCGAGAUGACACGAUAACGGACGCUGUGACCCGGCAUUGAGCGGCAGGGUGGGAAGCCUUUGGUUAGAACAAGAAGGAGCUGUGCUGUCACGCACGGGGCUCUGCAACACACCGCCAUGCGCCAUCGCCCCGACCCUUUCCCCGU
RNAcentral lists this unclassified non-coding RNA (3963 nucleotides) under Leishmania donovani. RNAcentral's name for it is "gene:LdHU3.25.2500(CDS-product:kinesin_putative)". Lineage: Eukaryota; Euglenozoa; Kinetoplastea; Trypanosomatida; Trypanosomatidae. The record is from RNAcentral.